UACGUAGGGGGCGAGCGUUGUCCGGAAUCACUGGGCGUAAAGGGCGCGUAGGUGGUGACCUAAGCGUGCGGUGAAAGCCCGAGGCUCAACCUCGGGUCGGCCGUGCGAACUGGGUCACUGGAGCAGAAUAGAGGCAGGUGGAAUUCCGGGUGUAGCGGUGGAAUGCGUAGAGAUCCGGAAGAACACCGGUGGCGAAGGCGGCCUGCUGGGUUCUGGCUGACACUGAGGCGCGACAGCGUGGGGAGCAAACAGG
This 253-nucleotide ribosomal RNA is filed under the name uncultured bacterium. RNAcentral describes it as "partial 16S ribosomal RNA". It matches the Rfam family "Bacterial small subunit ribosomal RNA", at positions 524 to 776 of the family's 1533-position model. The record is from RNAcentral.